Molecule: ribosomal RNA, 324 nt
Filed under: Globorotalia inflata
Lineage: Eukaryota; Foraminifera; Rotaliida; Globorotaliidae
Description: partial 18S ribosomal RNA
Source: RNAcentral
GAGCAUCUCAAUUUUAUAACACCGUAUUAAGCGCUUGGGUCGUAAUUGUUAGGCCUUUUGGGUUNUUUCAAUUGCGUUUCUCCAAUGCGCACGGUAAAGCCUGCUUCGAGAGUAAGUGGGUAAUCCAUUGGAAGUAAUGAUUUCCUUAUUUUUAUAAACAGCACACCAAUAUACGGCAUUCAUUCCCGAGACGGCUUAGUUCCGACUUUGUGCGAAUGUAAUGUAUUCUUAUCCGUAUGUGCGAUUGUCAAUUCAUGGUGGGGACAGACCAUUGNUAAUUGUUGGUCUCGGUCUUAACUANGAAUGCCUUUGUACGGGUCUUUU